Molecule: ribosomal RNA, 456 nt
Filed under: uncultured bacterium
Lineage: Bacteria
Description: bacterial SSU rRNA
Rfam family: Bacterial small subunit ribosomal RNA
Source: RNAcentral
CGGAGGCAGCAGUGGGGAAUAUUGGUCAAUGGGCGCAAGCCUGAACCAGCCAUGCCGCGUGCAGGAAGACGGCCCGCCGGGUUGUAAACUGCUUUUAUUCGGGAAUAAACCUUUCUACGUGUAGGAAGCUGAAUGUACCGAAGGAAUAAGGAUCGGCUAACUCCGUGCCAGCAGCCGCGGUAAUACGGAGGAUCCAAGCGUUAUCCGGAUUUAUUGGGUUUAAAGGGUGCGUAGGCGGCCUGUUAAGUCAGGGGUGAAAGACGGUAGCUCAACUAUCGCAGUGCCCUUGAUACUGACGGGCUUGAAUAGACUAGAGGUAGGCGGAAUGUGACAAGUAGCGGUGAAAUGCAUAGAUAUGUCACAGAACACCGAUUGCGAAGGCAGCUUACUAUGGUCUGAUUGACGCUGAGGCACGAAAGCGUGGGGAUCAAACAGGAUUAGAUACCCUAGUAGUCA